AGAUGGAUGGAGCGGCGGAGAGGAGGAGAGGAGCGCCUAAAGGUGGCACAGCCAAGUGACGCACAAAUAAAACCAGGCUGGAGAAAGGGAAGAUGGGAAGAUGGGGAAGUAUGGAUUUCACCAGUCCAGCGCCACAGCCCAUCUUCCUUUGAUAAAAAUCCCAUCCACUCCACAAAGCCCACUGGUAAUUAAGGACCCUUCAAAUACCACUCACUGACUGCUGGGGAUGUUCCUGUGCUGAGAAUUAAUGUUUGAUGUGUCGCCCUCAUCUGGUCAGAAAAGUAACUGCACCCCAUUCACAAGACAGACAGGGAAAAUGAAAACACAUUUAUCUCAUGAUAAAUGAGAUAAUGUAAAGGGUGCUGUUCUCACCGUGUGAGCCUGUCAUGGUUCAGUCCAGGGGUCAUCUCCUGCGUCCACCGAGACACACAGAGAUAGAGACAGAGGUUAAUUGGGCUCAGAUGCACCUCACUGUCCCGAUGGGCUCGGCCUGCCGCUCAGCCAAGACUCAGUCCAAGCCCCAGUUUCCACAUGAAGACACAGAGGCUUUGUUCACAUGUGCACUGUAUUCUGAUAGUGGGUCACUGUCUGGUUAAGGCCUGUUUCAGGGGGAAGCCUGUUAUUAUGCAUAUCUAACACACCGCUUUGUGUGACUAGUCAGCAAAUAUGCAUAUUUCUCACCAUCCACCUGCAUUUGGAGGAUAAAAAAAAAUAGCAACAUCUGGUGCAACAUAGACAAUAUUUAUUGGUUAUAUGAUGUCCAAGCAAAGCACUUGUUCCUGAUUGGCUGAAAUGUGUCCAAUAAAAUAGUACAUCAGGGGAACUCAAACUGUUUAACCUGUUCUAAAUCAGUGCACAGGAUACAUGAUCUUAAAAUGUAGGUAACCAUAGCAACAGUAUUUAAGCUUCACAGUGCCUUACUGUUUAAAGGAAUAGUUCUAUUUUCUGGGAAAUGUGCUUAUUUGCUUUCUUGCUGAGAGUUACUGGGAAUCCACAUCAGAAUCUAGACACAAGCACAACUGAAUCGUCCAAAUCGACCUCAGUUCGACAGCCAAUAUCAUCAGAACCAGCUGUCCUGACAGCAGCACAGCUCCUAAGGUGCUGAAAGGACAGCAGCCAAACUGCCUUCACCAGGCUCACAGCAGAAAUGUAUGGCCAAAUAUAGUUUUCAAGUAGGCUCAAUGAGGAGUGCAAGGGGAGAAAACUGUUAUUUUUAUUGACUGAUUCUUUGGUCUUAUUUCCCACCCACCAUAGUUGGCAGGGAAAAUAUUCCCAUAGUGAAAUUAGAAUGCUCAGAGUGGCACUGGGUUCUUGAUCAAUCAGUACAGAUACCGGUAAUAAGUUCACAGCAUAUGAAUAUCAAGAGAUUUAUGUGAUUUGAACAGCUUUCUCUGGAGAUUAUGCUUCAGUAAAUGUGCCAGAGAAAAUACUAUUAUAGAAAAAAAAAACACAAAGGGUCCCGUAUGUGUCUCAUAGUCAGUGUGAAUUGAUACAUUUGAUAAAAUGGACAUCUUCUGUCUGACGUCAAAAACAAUUAAAAUGUUUUCUACAUGAAUUACCCUUUAGAAACAUUAUAUCUCAAUGGUUUAGUCCAUGGCCACACCGCAGUGCACCGUGGUGGAGAGGGGGGCAGGAAGCCACUAUACCUGUAAUUAGUGAGCUUUGGAGGUGCUGGUAGGCAGACUUUGUUACCUUCAGACAGGACCACGGUAGCUGUGUUCCCAUUCCAGGUUUUUAUGCUAAGCUAAGCUAAGCAAAGCAAAGCUAACCCUCUCCUGUCUGUAGUUUCAUACUCAUAGAUAUGACAGUGCUAUCGAUCUUCUCUCAGCAAGAAGGCAAAUAGGCCUAUUGUCAAACUAUAUCUUCUCUACCAGGUGUAAACGACUCCUGGUUAAAAUGUUAUAAAAACUAUUAAAAAUGCAUAAUGAUUUGAACACAGCUUCUAUAUUUUCCUUGUGGUAUAAGUGGGAUAUUUCAGGAUGAAGUGUUCAUUGUUUUUUGUGUUUUAGGACACCUCAGCCUGCAUUAUCCUAUAUGGCAACUUGGGUGUUUGUAAAUGACAGUGACAGUUUAAUAAACAAAAUAUCUGUGGUGACUGCAAAAUAAGCCCCUUUCUGGUGAUCAAUACCUCUGCCCCGUUCUUAAUUCAACUUGUCAGGGAAAAUAAACUUCUUGUUCCAUGCCUCAUACCCUACUCUCCGUUGACUCUCCUGUCUCUUUUUUGCUGCAAAUGAUAAAACGAGUGAGCCAGAAGGGUAGAAGCUACAGAAACUAGUCAGUAAUAACCUAGUAGAUAUGGGAAAAGUUUAUCUUAUGACCAGAAUAGGACAUUGUCUAGGUUA
Molecule: RNA transcript, 2342 nt
Organism: Thunnus maccoyii (southern bluefin tuna)
Lineage: Eukaryota; Metazoa; Chordata; Actinopteri; Scombriformes; Scombridae
Gene name: putative nuclease HARBI1
Exons: 6
Source: RefSeq, a predicted model, not a curated record